UGCAAUCUGCUUUCGUUUUGUUUCGAAGUUUCGAAAAAGUCACGCGAUUCUCCAUGCUCUCCACUCACAUGCUGUUUGGAAGGUAUUAUUAAACCAAGAAUACAAAUAUAGAAUAAUUAUGGGGGCUUAAAUUAAAAGAGUUGAACUUGUUCUAAAUUUGGUGAAAUGUUACCGUACUUCCUGACAGGCAUUUAUCAUGUAAGCAGUCCCCUGUCGAUGCUUGGCAAUUUGUUUCAACUUGGUUAACCUUUUCUUUUGUGUAGAUUUUAGGCCUGAGCCAGCCAUCAUAACCCACAAGACAUUCAAGUUUUGCUUGUGCUGCUAUUUGGCCUGUCAUCGGCAACAAUUUCUUUUCUUUUUGGGUUGAUUGGAUAAACAGCAUCCGGAUGUGAGUGUGGGUGUAUUCACGAGGACGCCCUUUUCCUAUUCCGCUUGGUGGAUUCAACUUAUCAGCGGGUGGACGGAGCACCUGUGGUUACCUGGCCAUAUUUCCCAGGCUUGAAGGCCAAACCAAAAUACAAAACAAAAAUAGGAACUGGAUUCAAAGGACCAUAUUAGAUGACAAAUCAAAAAAAGAAGUAGUAACCAACUGUGCACGGAUGGACUUUUGAGUCGAAUUUAGGUCAUUUGUACAAUUGCUGCGCGACUGUCACGCACAGACAGCCUGUUUGAACGUCUUGUUUAUGCUCUCUCCAAGGGUCAACAGCUUUAUUUGGUUAGACUCACGUUUUUUUCUUUUUUAAUUUCCAAUUGCGGAAGACAAAACAAAAUAGAGAAUUGAUGCCCCACUUUUUGAAAAAUUCCCAAAUCAAGUCCUCCUUUAUAUUCUUGUCAUAUUCUCAUUCGUAGUAUAUUAUUAUUCGAAACACAAAUAGUCCAACAUUUUUUUUUACUGAUUUUGGGGGGAUUUUAAACAACUCACUCGGCAAGUCAGAAACAUUCGGUAUUGUAAAGGAUAAAUUAUCAAAUUUAGAUCAUGUUAAUUGUUCGUAAAAUAAAAGUCUCAGUUAAUAAGUCGAUUUCUUUUUGCUCGAUCGAAAUAAUGCCUCAAGAGCCUCGGGCUAGUGGUUAUUAUUGUACAUAGCAAGUCAAUCAAAAA
Long non-coding RNA from Daphnia pulicaria, 1099 nucleotides. RefSeq lists it as uncharacterized. NCBI's taxonomy places the organism in Eukaryota, Metazoa, Arthropoda, Branchiopoda, Diplostraca, Daphniidae. The record is from RefSeq and is a predicted model, not a curated record. The transcript has 3 exons.